Neonectria punicea is the source of this 117-nucleotide non-coding RNA. The record is from the annotation of a GenBank genome assembly. NCBI's taxonomy places the organism in Eukaryota, Fungi, Ascomycota, Sordariomycetes, Hypocreales, Nectriaceae.
GACACAGUGGCGGAGUGGUUAACGCGCAUCCCUGCUAUAAUUGCUGCUCCACAAGGGCUCUAUAACCUUUGUUAGGAUGUCUCCUCGGAGGCGCAGGUUCGAAUCCUGUCUGUGUCG